GAAUCAAUUUUUUCUUUUACACGAUCGUUUGAGUUCAUUUGUCGCUAGGUCUUCAAAAAAUAAAUUUAAUGCAUAUAUCUCGCAGUGUAUAGAAUCGUCUACACUCCAAAUAAAUCGCUUAGACUUGGAAAUUGAACUAUGCGAGUCUCAGUUGUCUGCAGUUCAUAAAGCAUUCGGGGGCAGGGACACAAAUUACAAGCGCUCUAUGUUCAGCAUUAUGCAUAGUCAGCAACUUUUCAGGAACUUUGCUGUGCAAACUGUUGGCAAGGCCUGCUGCCGUCUAUCCGUAACCCACUGCCCGCGUCCUGCUAGCUGGCACAUGCCAAAUAGCAGGACUCGUAUACCACCUGCGUGCUGCCUCCAUUGUAAGUGAUGCAAGCGACGAUAAAAAGGCAGCAACGAGUAUCCAAUACAAUGCGCUUAGUGGCGUCAAUAUGGCCGCACAAUUCAUACAUUGUAAUAUCGAUUACGAAGCACUCGAACUCGAAACACGUUACCCACAUGACUCACACAGACACACAGGCACACACACAAUAUACAUAUAGAACAGUUACGAGGCAACUUCUGUCCCUCCUGCAGUUGAACUCAGCCACUUGAGCCCAAAUGCCGUGUGGCUUGUAGCUGGGCCACGCUGGGUAUGCGUAUACGUAUUAAUAAAGUGCUGGAGGUGGCGGCGCACAUAAUUGCAGUCAUGAAAAGCAUUAUAAUACACAUCCACCCACUUUGCACACCUUCAUGAGGACAUUGUGGGGAAACUGAGGGCUGACAAACCACAGUCUGGGCGUCUGGGUGCGCGCAUUGAUUGAUUAUAUCAUUGCCGAUUGAUCGCUUGAGUGCCGGAAUCAACUUUAAGCUGGCAGUAGUUUUGCAAUGACAUCAUUUGCUUGCGAGCAGCCCAUCGAUCGGAGGUGAAAAACGAGUAGAGCUGCAAAUGGAAUUCAUUGUGGGGCGACUUAUCUACAUAUUGCUUUGUUAAAUCUGCUUAGCAAGGAGAAAUAGGAGAGCGAACAGGAGUGCAAGGUGCAGCAGAAAUGAUUCAUGAUUCAUUCGUAGCCAGACGAAGGAAUGCAAAGUGGAAGGACCCGGCCAACAAAAGCUGUGAAGGAUAUGAACGGUUUGCUCGAGCAGAAAAGCAAAUAUUGUUAGACUUGUGUUGCAAAAUGUAAAAAAGAAAAAGCAAAACAAGCAUAAAAACACAGAGGAAAGCAAAGAAAAAACGCGCAGGUAACUAAGCAAAGAGCUGCAGAACAACAACAACAUAAAGCUGGGGAAGUAACAGUUAAAGCAGCAGAAAAAAAUGUCAAGGUAAAACUAAAAAAACUAGCGUCGUUCUAGCCGCCGUAACACCGGAAACGGAAAUGGCAACGCCGUACA
Molecule: long non-coding RNA, 1374 nt
Organism: Drosophila hydei
Lineage: Eukaryota; Metazoa; Arthropoda; Insecta; Diptera; Drosophilidae
Exons: 3
Source: RefSeq, a predicted model, not a curated record